Non-coding RNA from Schizosaccharomyces pombe (fission yeast), 967 nucleotides. The record is from the annotation of a GenBank genome assembly. NCBI's taxonomy places the organism in Eukaryota, Fungi, Ascomycota, Schizosaccharomycetes, Schizosaccharomycetales, Schizosaccharomycetaceae.
GUUGAAUCAUGAGGACUUUUCUUUCUUAACGUAGCCGUAAAAGGAAGGUGUUUAUAUCUGGCGUGUUCGCUAACAACAUCUAGCUGCUUGUCCGGUGUAACAAUGUCAGAGUUUGGAUUUGGAGAGGAGUUCGUAAAGUGCAGAGGAGAAGAAGAGAAAGGUGUAGGAUUAAAAGAGUUUAUUUCGUCAGCCUCAACGGAAUUACCGUGGGAUAAUGUCGAUGAAGUUGUUUCCUUAAAAACCGCAAGCUGUAACCGAUUACUAACAGAUAAAUUUUUGGAAGACCGAUGAGGUCGGGGGAAGUAUCUCGAACGAGACACACGAAAGCUUGAUGGAGAUAAUGCUUCGUCAUGGAUGUUUUGAGAAUGCGUGUCAGAGGCAGGGGAAAAUAGAUUUUGAAGAGCAAUGGGAUCCAAAAAUUUUUCAUCCUUACUAGAAUUUGUAUAUGAAUGAGAAACGGUAGGUUUACUAUUUCUGUCAAGAGUAUUGUGAGAAGACAUAUCAGAUUCGACCGUCACGUAACCACGUUCAGUCUUGGAAUUUAUGUGAGAAAACCGAGAUUCAGGGGCUUUAGUAGAAGGCUCUAGUUUUGAAUUUGUACUAUUACUAUUAGAUGGUAUCGCCUCGCCAGCGAUGCGAUCCAAUUCAGAAAUGGGAGUUUUUGUCAAAAAAAGUUUUGCAUAAGUAACUGUACGAGAACAAAUAUUAACAAACGUGUUCAAAAAUGUCUUUUUACGUUUCCUUUGAUACUCUUCAUAUGUAAUACAAUCAUCCUGACGCGUCCUUUUUGACGCAUUGCGUUUUCCUAUCAUUCACGAGUGAAUUGUAAAGGGUGAAUCGCGAGAGGCUGUGACACACAACAACCUGGAAGGAUGAGCGCGUUCUUGCUUACGUUGUGAAAAUACCUCGUUAUACGAGUAUUGCGGUAUUUACUGUAAACAAACUACUUUUUGUGUUUAUAUUACAA